UACGGAGGGUGCAAGCGUUGUCCGGAUUUAUUGGGUUUAAAGGGUGCGUAGGUGGUUUUCUAAGUCUGGUUUGAAAGCUGGUGGCUUAACCAUCAGAUGUGGCUGGAAACUGGAGGACUUGAAUGCGUUGGCGGUAGCCGGAACGGGUCAUGUAGCGGUGAAAUGCAUAGAUAUGACCCAGAACACCGAUUGCGAAGGCAGGCUACUACGACGUGAUUGACACUGAGGCACGAGAGCAUGGGUAGCGAACAGG
Molecule: ribosomal RNA, 253 nt
Filed under: uncultured bacterium
Lineage: Bacteria
Description: partial 16S ribosomal RNA
Rfam family: Bacterial small subunit ribosomal RNA
Source: RNAcentral